AAAAUGGCGACAAUCACGUUGUUCGCUGUAAGGCUUGCUGCGUCAUUAAAAAUAUUCACGUAAACAAGGGAGUUCAGCGCUGAAAAUGCAGCUAGAGGAAUGUUAGGCAGAUGUUUUGUCAUAAUUUGGCAGGCGUUUCCACUGUCCUGAGAUGGCAAACACGACGCGCUGAUGGAGUUGUUUACAAGAAGAGAUUCGCGGGGAGGGCGGGGAUGUUGUGGGCGGGGCCUGCGGAGGGAUGUGGGCGGGGCCGGACGCUCUGCCAAACGCGAGAGCGAAGUACAGAGGGAGGAGUCCGAGUCAUCAUAACAAGUCCGUCGUCACAGGGGUGGUGUGUAUGAAUAAUUAAAGCUCAAAACGACGGUAUUGAAUAUCUCGCUGUCGGAUAGGGAGUUGACAUCUAAUACAGCGUAUCCAAUGAAAAUAUGGCACGAAGUCCAGUCGUGAUAUUCUCAUUUCUACUUUGUACAAGUUGUGUUUAAUAAAAAAAACGUUUUCGUCUACUCAUUCCUGUAACGCACGCAGAUGGAAAUGCGAAGUUUUUUUAGCCUGUGCUGUAUAUUGAUUGUUAUAUCUUCGAAUGCAGUGAGCAUCGCACUCCGACGUUUAAAGCAUGCCAGAGUGAACACGGACAAGAAGAUGUGUGAAGAACUACUGCCCUGACUGCUUGAUUUGACAGGCUGCCCUGGUUCAGUUAUCACAGUGCUGAUGCUGUCCAUCUUAAAGGUACAGUACUGUGAUAACUGAAGGAUGGCUGCCAUCUUGACAUCUAGCGUCAAAACAAAAAAAAUAAAUAAAAUUUUUUACAGGUGAAAAAGAUGCAAAUAAAUAAGAAUCGAGAAAACAAGCAAAACAAAAAUAAAUGCAGAGAAAUCUGUACUGAAUAAACUGUUAAACUGUUGGGUGCUUUCUAAUUGUAUAUAUGAAAGCAUGUAUAUGGUUGCUGUCAUCAGUAUAAUAUCCUCAUAGGACAAACAUUUAUUUUGGCAUUUUAGUUUUAUUGGGGGAAAUAAUAAAAUAUGUACAUAUACAUUUCACUCACGUUUUUAUUUUUUUACCUGUGAAUUAUUUAUUCGUAAUUUGCUUAUGUUUAAUUAAGAAAUUACCUGUUUAGAUGACAGACUUAUAAUCAAACUUAUAAUCAGUUUUUAUGUUUAUGUAUACAUGCUAAUGCAACAUUUGUUUUUAUAAUUUUAAUCAUGUUACAUUUAAUCAUUAAUAUGUCAAAAUUGGGCUGAUAUGGCCAAAUCCAUUGGAAUCUUAGAAAAGCUCACAAUGUCAUUUAAAAUUGUUUCUGCAAUGAAAGAAAUGACAUUUUUCAAUUCUAGAAGAUUGUACUGAAUAUCAUUAUACAUCAAAGCUUGUAUGACGUACAAAUGAUAACAGAGAUGGCAUUUAAUUAUGUUUAUAUAAUUUGUAUAAACGCCACGGACGUUUAAAAUAAAUAGUAUAAUAAGUGUAUUCGUCCAUUUUAUAAUUACAGAAUUUUACUCAUGCUGUUAGUAAAUAAGACACAGACAUUAUCCUUCUGUCCCGUGUUUUUUUUUGAACUCAUCAUGAGCAUUUUUAGACUCCGAGGUAAGACGGGUCGCUGUAAUGUUGUGAUGCAUGAAAUGCAAUAAUACGACUCUUUAAUAAAGUUUAAGGAAAAAAAAUUCUCAUCUGAA
Molecule: long non-coding RNA, 1667 nt
Organism: Puntigrus tetrazona (Sumatra barb)
Lineage: Eukaryota; Metazoa; Chordata; Actinopteri; Cypriniformes; Cyprinidae
Exons: 2
Source: RefSeq, a predicted model, not a curated record